Molecule: long non-coding RNA, 514 nt
Organism: Ochlerotatus camptorhynchus
Lineage: Eukaryota; Metazoa; Arthropoda; Insecta; Diptera; Culicidae
Exons: 2
Source: RefSeq, a predicted model, not a curated record
GUUGGUUUUGCUAACUAUCUGUGUGGCAAUACUGUGUUGAUAAGAUUUCGAAAAAUUGAUUCAGUUAACUGUAGUAAUGCAAAGAGAAAACCGAUGAAGAUAAUCGAUCAUCGCUGGCCCUUAUGAUUCUAAACGCUAGAAGUAAAAGUACUCUUUCUUAAAACGGUACAACGGCGACCAUUAUUUGGACGAGCUGCUGAAGCUGUAAAAGAGGCAGGAAGCGAAGAAGAUCGGAUUCCUGUUGACGAUUAAGGCACCUGUGUAAAGGACAUGACAAUUGCUGAGACGGAAGCGGAUUUCUUUCCGGCGAUGCAGUCGGUGAGAACCAAGUCGAUGAAGGCUUUCAGGGAUAGCUUAAUCCUGCUGGAACGGUACCUUUGCUCGCCAUGGCACGAAAUGGUACAGGCCUGUACGAGUGAGACUUUUUGAUACACCUGUACAUUUGAGCACUUCCAAUGUGGAGACCGGCAUCAUUUAAGCUUGCUUUGAAAUAAAAUACUGAACACUCGAGUAA